AGAACGAACGCUGGCGGCAGGCUUAACACAUGCAAGUCGAGCGCCUCGCAAGAGGAGCGGCAGACGGGUGAGUAACACGUGGGAACGUGCCCAAAGGUACGGAACAACUCCGGGAAACUGGAGCUAAUACCGUAUGUGCCCGAAAGGGGAAAGAUUUAUCGCCUUUGGAUCGGCCCGCGUCUGAUUAGCUAGUUGGUGGGGUAAUGGCCUACCAAGGCGACGAUCAGUAGCU
RNAcentral lists this ribosomal RNA (232 nucleotides) under uncultured bacterium. RNAcentral describes it as "partial small subunit ribosomal RNA". It matches the Rfam family "Bacterial small subunit ribosomal RNA", at positions 26 to 288 of the family's 1533-position model. The record is from RNAcentral.